Macaca mulatta (Rhesus monkey) is the source of this 539-nucleotide non-coding RNA. The record is from RefSeq and is a predicted model, not a curated record. Lineage: Eukaryota; Metazoa; Chordata; Mammalia; Primates; Cercopithecidae.
UCAGGUAGCAAUGCAUGGAAGAUCAGUCACAGCACUUCUACCUGACUUCUCAUUGACUCCAGUCAUAGGCCAAAGUCAUAGAUCUGCUCUUGUCAAACUUACCAGUGGGUUUCAUCUCGGAAAACUGUUCUGAGAUUUGAACUGUGGGCAUGAGCCGAGGAGGCUCAGGCACUUGGAGAUCCAGGAGGUAUCAAGCACACAGAUUCUCCACACCAUGCAGCCACUUCUGAGGAAUGGGGAACAGGUGGCAUCAGCACUUCAAGACUGUCUUUCCUGCUCUCUUCAAUAAUUCUUUCAGUGAUAUGAAGCUAAACCAGGUACUGUGAUUUUUUCACCUGAUUUUUAAUUCUUGUGAUGAUGCUUUUUGUGUGUAGCUAGUUGUUAAAAUUUGGUGCUCCUACAGGGGUGACAAAUGGUGUAGGCUUCUGUUUGGCCAUCUUGCUCUGCCUCCUCCUUUUGCUCAUUUUAAAAUUGGAUGAUUUGUGGAGUUUUGUUUUGUUUUGUUUUUUGCUGUUGAGUUGUUUGAACUCCUUGUGAAU